This 1125-nucleotide long non-coding RNA is filed under the name Homo sapiens (human). RNAcentral describes it as "non-protein coding MIR663AHG:36". Lineage: Eukaryota; Metazoa; Chordata; Mammalia; Primates; Hominidae. The record is from RNAcentral.
AAAUACUAGGCUUUAGAAUUUCACCAUAUGAAUUUUGGGAGAGAGGAGCACAGUUCAGCCCAUAACUAACACACGACGGAAUGAAGUUGAUAAUAGUGAGACCUUGUUGGUACAAGACUAUGUAACAUAACCUGCGCUUCUCAACAAAGAAUUGCUUUUCUGACUUCUGCACUCAAUAGCAAGACAAAUCUCUCCUCUGCCUUCUCCUUAUCAGACUACUCAACAUGAAGGCAAUAAGAAUGAAGACCUCUAUGUAUAAUAAUUGACUUCCACUUAAUAAAUAAGGUUACUUGGUACACUGGUCGACAAAACCUUGAAAUGUUGAUGUUUAAGGGCUGUUGAUUGCUGGCAGCAAAGAAGUCCAACUGUGCUGGUACCCGAGAUAGCGUCUCCACAUUUUCUUCCAGGAUCAUCACCUUUGUUCUAAAUAGCUCCCACAUAGUGUGAACAGAAGUCAUAUGUUUUAGAUUUUCUGCCUUGGCACCCAGGAAACCAGUAUGAUUGAGUAAACAUAUUAAACUUCCUCUGCAUUUCCAGCCUGAACAGAUGUUGAGUACAAGCUGAUCCACCUACGUUCAACCUGAGAGAGUCCACAUCCACAGACUGUUUCAUUUCCCUUUUUCAAUUUACAUAGAAGCAUAGAUUCUUGCUGGCAUAUACAAAUGCGCCAUUUAAGGCAAUCAAAAAUGGUUCCACAUCUCAUCUGAUUUCCACAAUUGUUGCUGUAACGAUGGACUACUGAGGAGAGAGACAAUUUCUCUGGCACAUCUUCCCACAUUUUAGCAACAUGUUCAUGGAGAGCCAAUAUUCAGUAAUUACAGCCCAAUUCCUCACAAUUUCACAAUUCGCUAACAAUAUGCAUUUUCACAAUGUAAAGCUGAUUUUCCUUUAACCAAAUCAAACAUGAAAAGAUAGCUGCAUGCAAUGGGCAAUCUAGAUCAUUAGAAGAUUGAUGUAAAAUUAGAGGACACUGAGACUGGAAUAGAUUGCAAACUUCAGGGAGCUCAGAAAACUUGUAAACUCUACAUUUUGAGGAAAUAUGUUGUCGAUGCUUUUGCAACUCUAUGCAGUAACUUAACAAAUAAAGCCUUAAAGUAACUUAUCUACGAGUUACUUUGUCAUUAU